GCUGCCACUCGCACCCGCUGCCAGCACCCAGCGCCGGUCCUGAUCUCUUGGUGCUGUCAGUGGGUGUAAGCAGCAGCUG
RNAcentral lists this microRNA precursor (79 nucleotides) under Myotis brandtii (Brandt's bat). RNAcentral's name for it is "mir-9198 microRNA precursor family". It matches the Rfam family "mir-9198 microRNA precursor family". Lineage: Eukaryota; Metazoa; Chordata; Mammalia; Chiroptera; Vespertilionidae. The record is from Rfam by way of RNAcentral.